RNAcentral lists this long non-coding RNA (5262 nucleotides) under Human betaherpesvirus 5. Its description in RNAcentral is "RNA4.9". The record is from RNAcentral. Lineage: Duplodnaviria; Heunggongvirae; Peploviricota; Herviviricetes; Herpesvirales; Orthoherpesviridae.
GGCGCAGUCCGCGGCAGGGUUCCGGCCGUGCUGCGGUCCGCACGCUGCGCCCGCUCCCGCCUGCCUCCCGCCCUACCCCCCACCCUCCCCGGCCGAGGCCCGGCGCCGGUCCGUCCGCGGGCCCGUCCCACCGCCCUGGAGCACCAUCCGGGGCCGUGGGCCGGGCACCGGGCGCGGCCCGCUCCGGACCUCGGCCGGGGGUCCCUCCCCUCCCCCCGCUCGACCCCCCAUCCGACGGCCCGGCCGGGCUGGGACCCCCGCACCGGGGUCCCGGUUCCCGUCCGCGGCCCGGGGGGACCCGAGCGGGGGCUUCCCACCCCCACCCCGCUCCUCCCCGGGCUCCGGCCCGGGAUCCCUCGCUGCUCCCGGCGGCCUCCGCCGGCUUCCCGGUCCACCCGCCGCGGAACGGACGGGACCCGGGGUCCGCGCCCUUCCCCUCCCCCCACGGGGGGCUGGGUCGCGGACCCCGGUUCCUAGGCUCGUUCCGCGGUGGGCGACCGGGGAUCCCCCACCCCGCUCCUCCCCGGGCUCCGGCCCGGGAUCCCUCGCUGCUCCCGGCGGCCUCCGCCGGCUUCCCGGUCCACCCGCCGCGGAACGGACGGGACCCGGGGUCCGCGCCCUUCCCCUCCCCCCACGGGGGGCUGGGUCGCGGACCCCGGUUCCUAGGCUCGUUCCGCGGUGGGCGACCGGGGAUCCCCCACCCCGCUCCUCCCCGGGCUCCGGCCCGGGAUCCCUCGCUGCUCCCGGCGGCCUCCGCCGGCUUCCCGGUCCACCCGCCGCGGAACGGACGGGACCCGGGGUCCGCGCCCUUCCCCUCCCCCCACGGGGGGCUGGGUCGCGGACCCCGGUUCCUAGGCUCGUUCCGCGGUGGGCGACCGGGGAUCCCCCACCCAGCUCCCCUUCCCGGCUCGCCCCGCUGGCUUUUGGGCCCCUCCGGGCUUUUUUUCCGGCUGGGGGUCGCGGCGGCCGGCCGACGACGGUAGGUGGGCCGGGCGGACGGUGGUGGGGACGGGCGACGCCCCGGCUCGACGGCAGUCGGCCCCGGAGGGUUGGGGGCUGGGGGCCCGGUCAGGAGCUCCGGGAGCGGGGUCGACCGCGACGGCUUCCGGGUCUCGCGGCGGCUCCCUCUCGGCGGCUCCGGUUGGGCUCCCCUCCCCCCUCUCGAGGGUCCGGUCGCCGGUUGUGGUCGGGGGUCCCUCGGCCUAGCCGCCGGCUCUCGGUCCGCCUUACCCUGGGCGUUGGCCGGUCCCGUGACGCUCCCCUCCCCCGCUGCUCCCCAAAAACUCCGCCCGAACCGUCGCGGUUUGCUGGCCCUGGGCGUGGUCUCCCCACUCCCCUCCCCCCAUCGGCCGCCCAGCCGGGGUCGGCGCCUCGGACCCCACCAGGCUGUGGCGUGUGUGCUGGCCGAUGCGGCGGCGAGGUUGGGUGUGGCCGGAAGCGCUCGGGGUCGACGGUGGGCCGCCAUGACACCUCAAUUGCCGUCAGUACGCCCCUCCACAAUCACCGUCCCCACACGAUGGGCCCGGCAGUUCACCCAACGUUGGUUCAGGCCCAGUCGGGUUUUUCCCCGGUACGAACGCACGUCCCCGUGGGCUCCACGCGUUUUCCACCCUUUCCUGGAGGGGUCCGGAACACCGUGAAUCCACGGGGAGGGUCCCGGCACGGGCCGAGGAGACCACGACCGUCCCACCCGGCGUGUCGACUCGUCCGAGACCCGGGAAGGGAACAGGCCCCACCUUUUUUCCCUUCUCCGAUUUGCCGUGGAAAACCCGUGAACCGAUACGGGUGCAGACGGCCGAAAAAAUUCGAGACGGCAAUACGACGGCAGGGCGUGAUUUUCUCCCCCACCCGACAAAACCGUGUCCCUCAAAAUUCCCCACCUUUCUCUGUUCAAAUGGCCCCGAAACUGUAAAACACCGUUUGACCGCACCCCAACCGGCGCCAUCUUGGUGACCUUCUCGACGGUUCUCUCGCUCGUCAUGCCGUUCUGAGCUCCGACAUGGCGGACGAGAGAAAAUGGCGUCGAGAGCCGAGGAGCGUUUUCGCUCCAGGCGGGUAAAAAAAUAGCACGAUAACUUUUCUGUGCUUUUUUGAGACGUUUUUGAAGAGCUUUUUUUCUGCUCAGAGCGAAAAAAUGAUAGCCCUGAAAAUCUCGACGAGUCUGGCCGAGCGGCGCCAUCUUGGAGGAGGGGCGAGUCGCGGGCACCGCCUCGGUACCCCCUGGCCGAGGCGAGUCCGCGGUCGCCGCCUGUUCCGUGAUGCUACCUAGAGGGCGCCGUCGAGGCGACUCUUCCUGUUUUCGCCCUGAGGGCUAACGGUCGCUGACGUCAAACCAUCUCGUGCUCGCUGAGUCACAUCCGGUUGUUGACAAGCGAUGGAGGACCGCACCCAAAGUGCGCCCUCUAGUCAUCGCGCCUGACCCCUUUUAUAAACUGCUCGAAGAAAAGAACACCUUAUGUGAAAAAAUACAGAAUGAUGACAAGUUCAUUCAACACAACCGCUCAACAACGCCAUAUCUAUCAGUGUCCAAAAACUAUCUUCUAUCCUUUGAAACUAUAAAUGCUGCCUAUAUACAUAUUUAGUAUCCAAGACUCUUACCACGUAGACGAAAAGAAGUGAUACAAUGAUCUUGACGUGUAUCGUCUAUAUCGUGCUAGAUAUAUUCAGAUAAGACGCGCAAACCAUAGAUUUCUCAUCAGUAUCAUGAAAGACCUAUAGCUCUAUAUACGAACCUAGUCAUUUUAGGACAGCCGCCGGAGAAGCCGACGAGGGAUCGGGCGGGUGCAGCCAGAACCUCACGCCCGAUCCCGCCUCCGGUAGGCGAUUUGCAUCUGUUUGGUAAAAAGCUCAUAAGUCUGUAUGUGACCUAUAUAUAUAUUAUACGCUAUGUACACCGAACUGUCGCUGUUGUAUAAGAAGAAAAAACUCUCCAUAUUUAUAUCGUCUGAAUUUUUGCUUGAUAGACACGUGUUUGGAACUCUGUCCCCCCACGUUUUCACUGUGUAUAACAAAAAUAUGUGUUUCUCAAAAGAUCUUGAGGUGUUUGAAAACGGGGGAAACCUGCGUUUGGGUGCGCUAAGCCCCGGACUGGGACGUAGCCGGCGUCCGGCACCUAUAUUUUUCUAUUUUUUUUUUACAAAAUAUAUGAUGAACCAAGAAUAAAACUCUAGCUCUCGUCUAUUUUUAAUAUGCUCUACUUAGAACCUUUUUAAUGACAGAAUGAACUCCAUGUUAUACGCUCUUUAUAUAGUUUCUCUGCACUAACCUUUAAAACCGUAUCCUUCCCUGUUGUACAAAUCAUCUUUUGAUACACAAUGAUGACCUGAUAUCCCUCCAUAUAUAUGAUCGGAUAUUAUUCCGUUAGACUUGUCCUCCUUUUUUUUCCUCAUCUCCUGUAUCUGGAGAUAUAUGUUGACCACCACCGCCAUGACCACCAAAAAGCUAGCCGUCACGACUAGAAAUGUGUAGGAUUCGGACUUUCCGUUUGAGAAGAAAGAGACCGCGUCUCUGGACGCUCUUUUUGUCGGUCUGAAUCGACCCGGGAUACGUAAGAGAGCGGCCCUACAUCGGGGGGCGCUCGAGACCGACGACGUUCCAUCUGACCAGAAAAAAAAAGGCACCCCUCGGUGGCGACCUCUCACCAUCGUUUGCCCGUCCGCCCGUCCUUCGUAGCCAUCAUCAUCAUCUCAGGCUCUAUCGGUACCAUCGUUGUCAUCUGAAAAAAAAAACUGCCUCACCCACCUGCGUAAAAACACCAUCUUUCCGGAGGUGCGGUAAGACGGGCAAAUACGGUCGUGCCGAGGCAAAAAAACGCACCAUCGACACCACACCCUCAUGAGCACCACCUGUCGGUGUUGGUCGUCCUCCAUCGUUCUCUACGAACAUCUCGACGCCCGGGUGACGGACGACGGCAAGACGUCCCGGAGAAGACGGUGUUCUCUCGGGCGGUACGCUCUCUGGAUCUAUAAUAUCUAUAGUAGCUAAACGAGACUGUGAGUACGACGAACCACAUCAUCUUUUUUUUAUGUUGCUUCUUUAGAAAAUGACUUAUGUCGACGACACUCGGCAUCAGCCAUCUCGUGAAACACGCUCGCUUUUCGUCUCUCCAAGGAACACUGGGUCCGCUGAAAGGGACCGUGUACCGACCAAAGCAAAAAACACACACGUAGUAACAUGAUCAACCACGUCUGAAUGACACGAAAACACAAUCGUAUAACGCUCUAUUCAUGGAACGAACUUGGAAUAAAAAAACCAUCGCAGGCCAGAGGCUAAGCCGAAACCGUCCGGGGAAGCGGGCGCGAGUUUUCCGACUUAGUCUCUGGUGCUCGUUGAGCCUCUUUUUUUUUUCCUGAUUCUCUGAAGAAUCACCGUCACAGCCCUAUGACGCGAAAUCAAUUGCUAGAACAUAAACGUUCUCAACAGGUAUGAAAUGAACAAACUAGAUGAUGCUAUAACCUUAUAUUGUGUGUAUAUAGAUAGGUGUGAAAUUUGUAGGAUAAAAAGUGUCGUUGUAUGAUGCACAACGAUCGUGAAACUGGAGACUGUAGCUCUCUACCGAAUGCAAAUACACAAAUGACAUCGAUUCCCGUCCCCACAUAAAGAAAUGUGCUUUACUGUGAAAGAAUGAAGAAGAUUCUUGUUCCUCGUACGACGGGGCCCUCGCUCGUCGUGCCUCUUCCCCCCUCCGGGAGAGGGGACGUCGGGGCCCUCCGUCGCACCGGGCCGAAGCCAGUGAAAUGUUUACUACACUGUCAUCAGAAUAUAUGAUGUAUAUUAUUUCCUCCAAACUCCUCACCAUAGCCACCAAUUCGCAUCACUUAAGAAAGUAGUAGCAACCGCGGCGGCGGCGACCGGCCGGUCGUCGUCUCCUCGUCCUCAAAUGUUGUACAUGUGCAGAAAAAUGUGUAAAUACGUGUUAUUUAUCCCAUGCGUCUUGUACAUAGAUAUAUGUUUUUAUAUACGCUAUUUAUACUUUAUAUAUCCUUUUGCAUAACCAUAGACAGUCAAGGAUUUUAAUGAUUUGCUCAUCCGCCUUUGAGCCAUCGCUUAGGAGUUAGUUCCUCUAUGUUCUCGGCCCACCUUUUCGACUACAGUAGCAAACCCUUGUACUACCACCCCGAUAAAAACCACAUCAUCAUCGUCACCACGACCUGGAAACGACACACGUUCCCCCCCAAUCUUGGGCAUGUGUAUAUAUAAAAAGAAUGGGAGGGAGAGGACGUGGGGCUCGAGAAGAAAUAAACGCCAAGCUCGAUUCGAACC